AUCACCGACAAUGUUCACAUUACUAAUUAAACGUAGUACUGGAAGCUGGCAUCUUAUUUGCAUGCAUAUGAGAAUUUGGUAACACAAAAUGGCCAUGUCCACGACAUACGUGGUCCACUAGAUGGAUAUAAAUUUACAGAAUAUGACGGAGCUAAGGAAAUAACUCUUGUAAAUAACUUACACGCGAAUAUGUAAAUUGCAAGGAGAUUGGUUUUAAAACAUGAUCUCGUGAACGUGUUGAGAUGGUUUUAUAGCCGUAUCUUGCGUGUAAAAUGCGUGUGUAGUUUAAUAUAUUGAUUGUGAAGUUAAUGCACAUAAUUUAAUUUCGAAAUUGUAGUUAUUGAUUUGUAUAAAAAUGUUACUCAAAAACACAAUUAUCUUUUAUUUUUUUUUUUUUUUAAAUAUGAAUUAUCUUUUAAUUGUCUGUUAAUUUUUUUAAUAAAGAAUUUUUUGAGAAUAAAAAUUAACUUUUAAAAAAAG
This 480-nucleotide unclassified non-coding RNA is filed under the name Melitaea cinxia (Glanville fritillary). RNAcentral describes it as "misc RNA ENSMCXG00005013326.1". The record is from RNAcentral. Lineage: Eukaryota; Metazoa; Arthropoda; Insecta; Lepidoptera; Nymphalidae.